AUGGAGAGAGCAGGAAGCAUUACCACCAGCAGCACCACCCGCACCACCAGCAGCAGCAGCACAUUUCCUCAUCCUGUGACUGUGGAGCCCAUGGACCAGUUAGAUGAUGAAGAGGGACUUCCAGAGAAGCUGGUUAUAAAGAACCAGCAAUUUCACAAGGAGCGAGAGCAGCCACCCAGAUUUGCACAGCCUGGCUCCUUUGAGUAUGAGUAUGCCAUGCGCUGGAAGGCACUCAUUGAAAUGGAGAAGCAGCAGCAGGACCAAGUGGACCGUAACAUCAAGGAGGCUCAUGAGAAGCUGGAGAUGGAGAUGGAGGCUGCUCGCCAUGAGCACCAGGUCAUGCUGAUGAGACAGGAUUUAAUGAGGCGCCAAGAAGAACUUUGGAGGAUGGAAGAGCUGCACAACCAAGAGGUGCAAAAACGAAAGCAACUGGAGCUCAGGCAGGAGGUGGAGCUCAGGCGCCGUGAGGAAGAGAUAAGGAGGCAACAGGAAGAAAUGAUGCGGCGACAGCAGGAAGGAUUCGAGGUAACCUUCCCUGAUGCGAGAGAACAGAAGAUACGGAUGGGCCAGAUGGCCAUGGGAGGUGCUAUGGUCAUAAACAACAGAGGUGCCAUGCCCCCUGCUCCUGUGCCGGCUGGUACCCCAGCUCCUCCAGGACCUGCCACUAUGAUGCCGGAUGGAACCUUGGGAUUGACCCCACCAACAACUGAAUGCUUUGGCCAAGCUGCUUACAAUGGAAGGAGUUGGGGCAAUUGGUGGAACUCCUCCUGCAUUCAACCAUGCAGCUCCUGGAGCUGAAUUUGCUCCAAACAAACGUCGCUGAUACUAAUAAAGUUGCAGUGUCUAGUUUCUCAAAACCCUUAAAAGAAGGACCCUUUUUGGACUAGCCAGAAUUCUACCCUGUAAAAGUGUUAGGGAUUCCUCCUAAUAGUUAGGUCUACCCUGCCUGUACUACUCUAGGGGGUAUGCUGGAGGCAGAGGGCAGGGGAGGGGUGGUAUUUAACAAAUCAGUUCUGUGUGGUAUGUUGUUUAACUAAUCAGUUCUAUGUGGUGCAUUCCUGAAGUCUCAAAUGAGAUUGUUGAGGGCCUGGGGGAACCAUGGCAAAAUGGAUCCAGUUAGAGCCCUAUUAAUCUUGAUCAUUCCGGUUUUUGUCCAUCCUGUUUUGUUUUCUUAUCCUUACACCCCCUAUCCCAGAGACACUGCCACAUGACACCACAAAAUCCCCCAAUGACCUUAGCCCAUUGCUCCAUUUACUCCCAGGUGAGAAUUCAGGCAAAUGUCCACAGAGGUCACAGACAGCGUACAUACGGUUCUGUUAUAUCCCAUAUAUUACCCUUAAUGUCUUUAAGGAAGACAUUUUCUCUUAGAGAUUUUCAUUUUAGUAUAUCUUUAAAAAAAAAUCUGGUGUUAACUUGCCUCCAUCCUUUUCUUGGGUAAAGAUGACCCAGGAAUGGCCCUUUUGUGUCUAUGAUGUUGCUGUUCACAGCUUUUUUUGAUAGGCCUAGUACAAUCUUGGGAACAGGGUUGCUGUAUGCUGAAAGUCUGACAGUAGCUCUUAGCCUUGCCUAUCUUAGGUAGUUAUGCUGUGCAUUUUUUAUUGGUGUACCAUGUUUGAUUUGUCCCUGAUACCUUAAAUUUGAAGUUUUUCUGAGAAAUGGAGCAGUAAUGCAGCAUCAACUUAUUAAAAUACAUUUUAAACCUUU
Non-coding RNA from Microcebus murinus (gray mouse lemur), 1704 nucleotides. The record is from RefSeq and is a predicted model, not a curated record. NCBI's taxonomy places the organism in Eukaryota, Metazoa, Chordata, Mammalia, Primates, Cheirogaleidae.